GUUAUUAUUGAUCGCAUAAACCAUGACGGAUUCAAAGGCAUUAGUGAAGAUAAAAGAUGGCGUACCUGGAGCAAUGGUUUGUCCGAUGCUUACAACGUCGAACUACACAGUUUGGGCAAUGAGGAUGAAAGUUCUUCUGCGUGUUCAUAAGGUUUGGGAAACAAUUGAGCUAGGAACAGAAGACGACGAGAAGAAUGAUGUAGCAACAGUGCUUCUGUUCCAGUCGAUACCUGAAAGAUUGAUUUUGCAAGUUGGAGAUCUAGGUUCCCCUAAAGCAAUAUGGGAAGCUAUUAAGACAAGAAACCUAGGAGCAUAACGAGUUAAAUCAGCUCGACUCCAAACGUUGAUGAAUGAGUUCGAUCGUAUAAAGAUGGAUGACUCGGACUCUAUUGACACGUUCUCAGGAAAGAUAUCAGAACUUGCUUCUAAGGCGGCAUCAUUAGGUCAAAGUAUUGAAGGACCAAAGGUCGUGAAGAAGUUCCUUAACAGCUUACCUCCGAAGUUCAUUCAUAUGACAGCUUCUUUAGAGCAGUUGUUAGACUUAAAGACGACUAGCUUUGAAGACAUUAUCGGAAGGCUUAAAGCGUAUGAAGAACGGAUAAAAGGUUAUGAACCGUUUGAACAAAAAGGAAGUCCUCUAUACUCAAAUUCUGAGAAGUCAUAUGAUCAAAGAUGGUCAGAUAAUGGAGGAAGAGGCAGAGGUCAAAACAGAGGACGUGGACGAGGAAACAGAGGUAGAGGUCGUGGCAGGAGCAACACAGACGAGAAAACCAAAGAGAAGAAGGACUAUUCUCAGAUCGUGUGCUAUAAUUGCAAGAAGAAGGGACACUUUGCUUCUGUGUGUACUGAAAAGAAAGACGAGGAAGAGCUCAACAAAGCAGAGACAGAGGUUGCAGAUGAAGUACUAUAUAUGCAUGAGGUAGUGUUCCUUAAUGAAGGCAAGGUCAUGCCUAAGAGACUUGAGUCAGACACGAAGGAAGAUGGUAUCUGGUAUUUGGACAAUGGUGCUUCAAACCACAUGACCGGAGAGAGGUCCUACUUCUCCGAAAUAAAUGAAAACA
RNAcentral lists this long non-coding RNA (1061 nucleotides) under Brassica rapa (field mustard). RNAcentral's name for it is "long non-coding RNA (BRAP_LNC005199)". The record is from RNAcentral. Lineage: Eukaryota; Viridiplantae; Streptophyta; Magnoliopsida; Brassicales; Brassicaceae.